Molecule: ribosomal RNA, 860 nt
Filed under: Platypus pahangensis
Lineage: Eukaryota; Metazoa; Arthropoda; Insecta; Coleoptera; Curculionidae
Description: eukaryotic LSU rRNA
Rfam family: Eukaryotic large subunit ribosomal RNA (bases 199-860)
Source: RNAcentral
CUGAGAGCCCGAAGGUCGAAGGAAGAAAUUCAUAUGUGUUUCAUAAUUGACAGAAUUGUAUAUGAUAGACGAUAUGCAAAGCUGAUAAUCUAUUUAAUGAUUAUUGAUUUGUAUUUUGCUACGUAUAUAUUUUGUAUCUGAUUAUGAACAUGUGCAUUUUUCUUCUGGUAGGACGUCGCGAUCCGUUAGGAUUAUUAUCGGUCUAUGAUGAUUUACGGUACUAGAUCAUUGAUACAUGUAUUAUUUUCAUAAUAUAUGAUAAUAUUAAUGAGUCCGUUCAUUCUGGCCGAUUUACCUGACGGUAUACUGAAUGGUUAAAGGUCGCUAAUUUCAAUUAGCGUUAGAGGUUCGGCAAGUGUAUUGAUUGUUAAAAAACAUUAUUAUUAUAUUUAUAUGAUGGUAAUGUUAUCGGUAAUCGGUAUUUAUAUCAAUUCCGAGMUAUUUGUAUACUGUUUGCUAAACAUAUCUYUGACUGACUUUAUUAUUUUAAAAUAAAACCAAUCGGCGACGCUAUAGCUUUGGGUAAUUUCAGGACCCGUCUUGAAACACGGACCAAGGAGUYUAGCAUGUGCGCAAGCCAUUGGGAUAUUAAAACCUAUAGGCAAAAUGAAAGUAAAAUCAAGUCGUCUUGUAUGAUUUGAAAGGAAGAUGAAUGAUGAUAUCUUAAUGAUACAUUAUUUCGCAUUCCUGGGGCGUUUAAAUUUCAUUUUUUUUUUAAUUGGAAAGAAUGAGAUUAUGCGCACCAAGAGUGUACACGCUGGGACCCGAAAGAUGGUGAACUAUGCCUGGUCAGGACGAAGUCAGGGGAAACCCUGAUGGAGGUCCGUAGCGAUUCUGACGUGCAAAUCGAUCGUCGGAAC